AACGAACGCUGGCGGCAUGCCUAACACAUGCAAGUCGAACGAAGGCCUCGGCCUUAGUGGCGCACGGGUGCGUAACGCGUGGGAAUCUGCCCCUCGGUUCGGAAUAACAGUUAGAAAUGACUGCUAAUACCGGAUGAUGACUUCGGUCCAAAGAUUUAUCGCCGAGGGAUGAGCCCGCGUAAGAUUAGGUAGUUGGUGGGGUAAAGGCCUACCAAGCCGACGAUCUUUAGCUGGUCUGAGAGGAUGAUCAGCCACACUGGGACUGAGACACGGCCCAGACUCCUACGGGAGGCAGCAGUGGGGAAUAUUGGACAAUGGGCGAAAGCCUGAUCCAGCAAUGCCGCGUGAGUGAUGAAGGCCUUAGGGUUGUAAAGCUCUUUUACCAGGGAUGAUAAUGACAGUACCUGGAGAAUAAGCUCCGGCUAACUCCGCGCCAGCCGCCGCGGUAA
Molecule: ribosomal RNA, 449 nt
Filed under: uncultured bacterium
Lineage: Bacteria
Description: partial 16S ribosomal RNA
Rfam family: Bacterial small subunit ribosomal RNA
Source: RNAcentral